AAAUAUCGUAUACUUCUUGUGUGGCUUUAGAUAAGCGGUCGAUGGUUUUUUGCACUGAACAAAAGUCUAAUCUAUUGCACUGUUAUAAAAGGCAUUAUCAGAGAAUAGAUCCUGAGAUAUGGGGAAAAGCACUCUGCAUGUUAGCUCCUGCUGUGAUUUCGAACAACUGAACGAUGGAGCCAAUGACGUAUGGGGUAUUACCUUAUAGCCCAUUACAUACAUAAGGAAAAACGUAGCUACCUAUUGCACCCAUAAACAAAGUCAAAGAAGAUAACAUUUAUCAAUUCGUA
Long non-coding RNA from Drosophila pseudoobscura, 290 nucleotides. RefSeq lists it as uncharacterized. The transcript has 2 exons. Lineage: Eukaryota; Metazoa; Arthropoda; Insecta; Diptera; Drosophilidae. The record is from RefSeq and is a predicted model, not a curated record.